UCUAAGGCCAUACCACCCUGAAAGUGCCCGAUCUCAUCAAAUCUCGGAAGCUAAGUUGAGUCGGGCCUGGUUAAUAUUUGGAUGGAAAAAAUUCUGAUAGCAAAUAGAA
RNAcentral lists this ribosomal RNA (109 nucleotides) under Chinchilla lanigera (long-tailed chinchilla). Lineage: Eukaryota; Metazoa; Chordata; Mammalia; Rodentia; Chinchillidae. The record is from RNAcentral.